RNAcentral lists this long non-coding RNA (339 nucleotides) under Medicago truncatula (barrel medic). RNAcentral describes it as "lncRNA gene8353". The stretch from base 253 to 339 matches the Rfam family "Small nucleolar RNA snoR109". The record is from RNAcentral. Lineage: Eukaryota; Viridiplantae; Streptophyta; Magnoliopsida; Fabales; Fabaceae.
UUAGGUUUAGGGUUUUACGGCUGAUAGCUAACACAGAUCUGAAGUCGCAGCAAAUUUUUCAUUUUCGUUACUUUCAAUUUUCCAAAUUUCUCAAUAGCAACUUCGCUUUCUUAUGAAUCUAAUCCUAUAAUUCUGUAUUGUGUGUUCAGUUUCUCUGUUUUUUAUUUAUGUUAAUUUGUAACUAUGCUACAUUGUACCGAGAGAAGGGUGGUAACAAAAAAACCAAUACCCUUAAUCUUGAAUGUGCCAUUGUGGCUGUAGCUAUAUUAAAUCGAAGAAUCUUACUGGCCGGUUAUUGUGACUCUGUCGAUAAAUCUGCUUACCGAGUUUCUCACAUUU